UGGCUCAGGAUGAACGCUGGCGGCGUGCUUAACACAUGCAAGUCGAACGGACAUUUAAUGAAACCUAGUGAUUUAAAUGUUAGUGGCGGACGGGUGAGUAACGCGUGGGUAACCUGCCUUACACUGGGGGAUAACACUUAGAAAUAGGUGCUAAUACCGCAUAAGCGCACAGCUUUGCAUGAAGCAGUGUGAAAAACUCCGGUGGUGUAAGAUGGACCCGCGUCUGAUUAGCUAGUUGGUGAGGUAAUGGCUCACCAAGGCGACGAUCAGUAGCCGGCCUGAGAGGGUGAACGGCCACAUUGGGACUGAGACACGGCCCAAACUCCUACGGGAGGCAGCAGUGGGGAAUAUUGGACAAUGGGGGAAACCCUGAAUCCAGCGACGCCGCGUGAGUGAAGAAGUAUUUCGGUAUGUAAAGCUCUAUCAGCAGGGAAGAAAAUGACGGUACCUGACUAAGAAGCCCCGGCUAACUACGUGCCAGCCGCUGC
Molecule: ribosomal RNA, 488 nt
Filed under: uncultured bacterium
Lineage: Bacteria
Description: bacterial SSU rRNA
Rfam family: Bacterial small subunit ribosomal RNA
Source: RNAcentral